Molecule: ribosomal RNA, 806 nt
Filed under: uncultured bacterium
Lineage: Bacteria
Description: bacterial SSU rRNA
Rfam family: Bacterial small subunit ribosomal RNA
Source: RNAcentral
AGAGUUUGAUCAUGGCUCAGAGCGAACGCUGGCGGCGUGGCUUAGGCAUGCAAGUCGAACGUGAAAGCCCGCAAGGGUGAGUAAAGUGGCGAAAGGGUGAGUAAUAUAUCGAUAACCUACCCUUGAGACGGGGACAACAGCUCGAAAGGGCUGCUAAUACCCGAUGGUUCUGGGUUGAUGCAUUCUUCCCAGCUAAACGGUGGGUCCUUCGGGGCCUUCUGCUCGAGGAGGGGUCGAUAUCCUAUCAGCUAGUUGGCGGGAUAACAGCCCACCAAGGCUUUGACGGGUAGCCGGACUGAGAGGUCGACCGGUCACACUGGCACUGAGACACUGGCCAGACUCCUACGGGAGGCUGCAGUCGAGAAUCUUCCGCAAUGGGCGAAAGCCUGACGGAGCGACGCCGCGUGCAGGAUGAAGGCCCUCGGGUUGUAAACUGCUGUCAAAUGUUAGGAAUGGUUAGUCGCGAAUAACGGCUAACUUGACAAAGGCAUGAGAGGAAGUCACGGCUAACUUCGUGCCAGCAGCCGCGGUAAGACGAAGGUGGCAAGCGUUGCUCGGAAUCACUGGGCAUAAAGCGCGCGUAGGUGGCUUGAUAAGUCGGUGGUGAAAUCCCAUGGCUCAACCAUGGAACUGCCGUCGAUACUGUCAGGCUUGAGGGCGGUAGGGGAGAGUGGAACUCCUGGUGUAGCGGUGAAAUGCGUAGAUAUCAGGAGGAACGCCGGUGGCGAAAGCGACUCUCUGGGCCGUUCCUGACACUAAAGCGCGAGAGCUAGGGGAGCAAACAGGAUUAGAUACCCUAGUAGUCC